Molecule: small nuclear RNA, 162 nt
Organism: Arvicola amphibius (Eurasian water vole)
Lineage: Eukaryota; Metazoa; Chordata; Mammalia; Rodentia; Cricetidae
Product: U1 spliceosomal RNA
Exons: 1
Source: RefSeq, a predicted model, not a curated record
AAACUCACCUGGCAAGGCAGUGAUACCAGGAGCACAAAAGUGGUUUUCCCUCGGUGAGGUUCGUCCACUGAACUCCAGAUAGCUGAUCCCUGUCGUUUUCUCAAACACAGAAAUGCAACUGCAUGACCUGUGUGGUGGGGGCUGUGCUUGCACGAUACCCUA